UCCUUCAGUUUUUGCUUGUUUGGGACACGGAUGAUAAACACAUUAAGUUUCUGAGCACUCGAAAUGACCAGUGUUACAAGAUCCCAACAGCUCCUAAUGGGUUUUUUAAUUAAAAGGUGAGGCAGGAAGGCACAAGGGCAGCAUUCCAGGUGAAGAGCAGAGAGGAAGACAAGGAGUCGCUUUCACACAGUGAAAGAGAAAAGUCUGUGCUGGUCAGAUGACUCGGUGGAUAAAGAUGUUUGUUACCAACCCUGAUGACCUGAGUUCCACCCUGAAGCCCCACGUAGUAGGAGACAACUGAGAGCCUCUGACUUCCACAUGCAUGCACUUUGCAGUAAGUAUGCAACACCCCACCCUACCAAUGAGAGAAUGGAUGAAUAAAUAAAUAAAUAAAUAAA
Long non-coding RNA from Mus musculus (house mouse), 398 nucleotides. RefSeq annotates it as predicted gene, 36924. The transcript has 3 exons. Lineage: Eukaryota; Metazoa; Chordata; Mammalia; Rodentia; Muridae. The record is from RefSeq and is a predicted model, not a curated record.